Rhinopithecus roxellana (golden snub-nosed monkey) is the source of this 3148-nucleotide RNA transcript. RefSeq lists it as uncharacterized. NCBI's taxonomy places the organism in Eukaryota, Metazoa, Chordata, Mammalia, Primates, Cercopithecidae. The transcript has 4 exons. The record is from RefSeq and is a predicted model, not a curated record.
GUCACGCUCGGCCAGGCCUGUGACCCUGAAACCCCCUCCAGCCUCCUGCCCCACUCUGGCACCAGUCCUCCCUGCAGCUUGCAGAGCAAGCGGGGUACUGUCUCCCCAAGGUAUGGCCUGGGGGGCUGUGGGAGGUGAUGGGAGCAGCUGUAUUUGAGGGCAGGGUCCGUGGGGGAGCCCCCCAGUGUGGGGACAGGAGGAGGGACCAGGGAGUGUAACCUGGCAGCCCACAGCAGUUCCGGCUGCUGCUUCUGUCAAUACGGCCUUCCUGUUUUGGAGAUUAAACCCCGGCUGAGCAAACAGCUUUCCGGGUGGCCCCUCCCUCCACCCCAGCCCUGGCCUUGUCUUCAGGUCCUGAGGCUGGGACCACCUGGAGGCUGUGGGGGUGGCAGUGGGGGUGCUGGGGGAUGGAGGGGACCAAGCUUUGCAACCCCUGCCCUCACCAAGGCCUGGACCACAGCCCGAGCAGCCCAGCCCCUGCCCCAGCCGCAGCCUCCUCCCAGCACCCCCGCCAUGGGCUCUCCCGGAACACUCCCUGUGUGAUCCUUCCGACCCAGGGCAGCCUCACUGUCCUGGACACCCGGCCGCUGCAUCCUCUGCCCUUGUGUGACCUCCUGCAAGAAGGCAGGAGCACGCCGCUCCCGGGCCUCGUGGCCAGGCACAAGCCCACCUCGUGUGGACCCCAGGCGUGGCAGGAGAACCACCGCAAGAGCCCCACCAAGGCACAGCCAGGGGAGGGCCUGCCAUUUCUUGGAUGGCUUCUGCGCUGUGGCCCCUGACAUUGAAGGUGGAUCAUUCUUGGUUGUGAGACUGUCCUGUGCAUGAGGGGCUGUCAGGCAGCCUCCCUGGACCCUAUAAGCCAGACCCUAAUGGCUGCUCAGCCCCAGCCCAAAGGCGACAAACGGAAGUGUCUCCAAACAUUCAUUAUCAAGUGUCCCCAGAGACCAGGACCAGCCCUGGAUAACACCCUCUGGACUAAGCUGCAACACCGGCAGAGCCUCCCAAGGAAGGGAGGAGGGAGGACAGAGGCCAAGGUGGCUCCCAGCCACCCUUCCAGCUUCCUCCCUCUCUGGCCACAAGGACACAAAGCUCAGAGGGAUGGAUGGACAGACAGGAAGGCUCAGGCUGGACACGCAUUGUCCGAGUACCCCAAGCAGAGCUGGGCAUGGAGCAAAUGCUCAGGGAGGCUGUGGGAUGAGCAGGUGAAAUGGAUGGAAGGAUGGACGGACAGAUGGAUGGAUGGAUGGAUGGAUGGAGCCCAACACCAGCUCUCAGGUCCUAGACAGAUGGUCCAACACCAGAGAGGUGGCCUCUCUCAAGCAGAUCUUCCCAGGACCCUGCAGGAGGGCAGGCCGCAGCAGCCCCAAGGAACAGCCCGGGGGAGGGAAGGCAGAUGGCCGCCUCAAAGCCAGCCCCGAGUCCUUCCCUUCUAGGCCUGAGUGUCAAGGGCAGACCCAGACCAUGGCUUUGGGGACCUGGUGGCACUGACUCCAUCAGGAGACCUCUGGGCUGAGCCCUGGCAGGUACAGGAGGCCUGGACUCAGAUGGGGACAGAACACUGUCUCAGUCUGAUGGCGGCUCGGGGAGGAGGGUAGGGCCCCUGGUCAUGUGGGUCCUGGCCCUGUGGGCCUGCUCUCCACCUGACCUCAGCAGGCAGGUCUCUUGGGCCAUUCGUGCACCCAGCUGCCCUGGAGCCCCAAACUGGGACUGGUGGAGGGGCCCUGCGGAGGGGAAGGCUGGGGUCCAAGAAGCCAAUGAAGCCAUGUGCCAGGGCCAGAGCUGGUCUGCCUGGUCUGGAUGGUAUGUCAUCCUUGUGUUACAAGUGGGGAAACUGAGGCUCGGGGAGUAACAUCACAGGUUCAAGGUCUUAAAGCUGAGAAGUGGCCCCUCUGGGUUUGGAAGGCAGGCUGGACCCUGGGGCAGCCUCUACCCCCAGCCCCUCUUCCCCAGGACCCUACAGCCCCAAGAGGCUUCCCUGGCAACCCGGUCAGCCCUCUCUGUCCUCUCCCCAGCUGCCCUUGUCCUGUCCAGGGCUGAGCACCGUCCCACAGCCCACUUCCCUAGCAGGGCUGUAUGACCCAGCGGGCCCCUAGAGGGAGACCUGGGGUCUGGAGGGGGAGGGGAGUGUUUCAGGCUGAAGCGGAGCCUGGGGAAGCAGGCGGGGGUGGCUAGACUGGGCCACCCCCUCAACAGUUUUCAGACCUCAAGGAGUUACCACGAAAUUCCAUUCUCCUGACAGCAAAGAAAUUGAUUCAUUCUUGCCAAAGCCUGCGGCCCCCACAAGAAUGCUGUAAAGCUUCCUCCCGCUGCUUCCAGACAGGCAGCAGCAUCAGGUCCCCCACUCCUCCAUUCCUGGCUACACAGAGACGCGAAACCCCCGUAUUCAGUUCUAUGCAUGUGCCCCGCCAGGCUGGGCCAUUCACCUCUGUAUAGUCACUCCCUUGGCACAAUACCCCGCUUGCUUUCUGUACAAUGGGCACCUUGCUCCCACGACCUGCUGGGUCAAAGGCACUGCAGUCAGGGGUAGCUGGGGAGCAGGGGUAAUGGGGGGCUCAGGGCAGGAAGUCCCACCCCCUGGCCUGGGAACUGUGGAGAGAUGGACUCACAGCCCCUUGUCAGGUGGGGUGCAGGGUGGCACGGCACCCACCAUCGGUGCCACUGAUGUAAAGUCCAGAUACAAAGCACAGCCCAUCCAAAGAUUUGGGGGCUAGGUCAUGCUUGGCUGCUGCGGAAUGAGGAGGGACUGGGCCUCAAGAAACCGAGCUAGGACUAAGUCACGAGGUACGUGGACAUCAGGCGGGACUUGAACUCAGCCAGUGGAGAGCUAUGGAGGGUUUUGUUCUUCGUGUGGCUGUGUGAGUGGCUAUGAUCCUAGCGUGGAGAAUAGCAAAGCAGGUAGGAUAGGAGUAGGUGGGACGGGAGUGGAGGCUGCCUAAGCGAUCCAGGGAAGAGACUGGUUCCCUCUCUGAAACAAUUCAGAUACGGGAGAGGCUGAAGUCAUCGGUGUGAAGCACGUGGGGGCGUGGAGACCCCUCAGUCCGGAGGCUGGGGCUGGGCUGGGGCUCAGCUGACUUUGUGGGGGCAGCCAACCCAGCCACUGGGUCCUUUUCUCCCCGGCUCACCCUCAAGCCUCUCCAGCUGCCUGGAG